This 147-nucleotide ribosomal RNA is filed under the name Capsicum chinense x Capsicum frutescens. Its description in RNAcentral is "5.8S ribosomal RNA". It matches the Rfam family "5.8S ribosomal RNA". From Rfam's summary of the family: 5.8S ribosomal RNA (5.8S rRNA) is a component of the large subunit of the eukaryotic ribosome. It is transcribed by RNA polymerase I as part of the 45S precursor that also contains 18S and 28S rRNA. The record is from RNAcentral. Lineage: Eukaryota; Viridiplantae; Streptophyta; Magnoliopsida; Solanales; Solanaceae.
AAAAAGACUCUCGGCAACGGAUAUCUCGGCUCUCGCAUCGACGAAGAACAUAGCGAAAUGCGAUACUUGGUGUGAAUUGCAGAAUCCCGUGAACAAUCGAGUCUUUGAACGCAUGUUGCGCCCGAAGCCAUUAGGCCGAGGGGCAUC